RNAcentral lists this transfer RNA (69 nucleotides) under Rattus norvegicus (Norway rat). It matches the Rfam family "tRNA". From Rfam's summary of the family: Transfer RNA (tRNA) molecules are approximately 80 nucleotides in length. Their secondary structure includes four short double-helical elements and three loops (D, anti-codon, and T loops). Lineage: Eukaryota; Metazoa; Chordata; Mammalia; Rodentia; Muridae. The record is from Rfam by way of RNAcentral.
GGGGAUUUAGCUCAGUGGUACAGCGCUUGCCUAGCAAGCACAAGGCCCUGGGUUCAGUUCCCAGCUCCG